UUGGAGGAGAGCGACUGUAUGUCGCUUUUCAAUAAGCAUGCGUUCCUCGGUGUGCGCCCUCAUGAUUAUAAAAACCUGCAGUUGAUCGGCGAGCAGAUAGUGAAGAAACUUGGAGGAAGCCCAUUGGCAAUAAAGAUCAUGGGAGGAAUACUGAAUUCCUGCAUGGACUAUGAAUAUUGGAAGAAAAUCUUGGAAGAAGACAUCAUGAAAUUACAACAAGGAAAGGACGGCAUCAUGACAAUUUUGAGAUUAAGCUACGAUCACUUGCCCGCAAACUUACAACUCUGCUUUAGAUAUUGCAGUUUAUUUCCGCAGGAUCAUGUGUUUAAGAGGAAAACAUUGGUCAAUAUGUGGAUUGGUUCGGGUCUGAUUCCACAAUCUAUUUGUGGCAGGCAAAGGCAGCCAGAGGAUAUCGGAAAGGAGUAUUUAAAUCUUCUGACAAGAAAAUCAUUCUUUACAUGCAAAACCAGCGAUAAUAUGUUGAAAAUUACUAAAGAGUAUUUUAUGCACGAUCUGCUCCAUGACCUAGCACAAUCAGUUUCUCUAGGAGAAUGCAUCAGAAUAGGAGGUGACGUCGUAGGAAUUACUAUUCCACGAACAGUUCGACAUUUAUCUAUUGAAAUGGUCAAUCUUCUUUCCAUCAGAGCGAUCUCCAAUCUUAAGAACGUGCGCACUCUAAUCAUUUCUGUUAAAGAGUAUAAUAAGCAUAAUGCACUUCAUGUACCUGAAUUUAUGAAGAUUAUAAAAGGGUUUAAAAAGUUACGCUUAUUGAUCUUAGAUGUGAAUAUUAUUAACACUUAUAAACUGCUUGAUGCACUUAGUAGCUUGAUACACCUCCGCUACCUAUCUCUUUCACUGGAGGAUGUUGUGGAUGAAAGUAUUAAAUAUGAUGGCUUGACCAAUGAAAGUAUUGAAUAUGAUGGCCUGACCAACUUGGUCAAUUUGCGUUCAUUACAUGUUCCCUAUCUCGUGACAAACAAUAUUCCUUAUAUUAGCAAACUACCCUUCAUCCGCAAAUUAGAAGAUUUUUUUGUCCGAGAGGAGAGUGGCUACAAAAUCAGCGAACUAAAGAACCUAAGAGACCUUCGUCAUCUUCACAUUAGUGGACUUAGAAAUGUGAGGAGUCCUGAAGAAGCCAUUGAGGCCAAUCUAAAUGAGAAAAAACAUCUCAAAUCACUAUCAUUGGAUUGGUCCACAUACCGCUCCAAUAGCGCAGAGGCAGAUGAACAGCUCCUCGAUAACCUUUGCCCUCAUAUCAAUCUCAAGAAAAUGCACAUCGAACAAUACCAAGGUGCUAAAUCUCCAUGCUGGAUGACAGGUCUGUCGCUCAUCAAUUUGACAUCUAUCAAACUGAUGCACUGUAAACGAUGGGAGCACCUCCCGCCUCUUGGGCAGUUUUCUUCGCUCCAACUUCUUUUCUUGUGGGGACUGCAUGCAAUAAAGCAAAUGGAUUGUUCAGUCUUUGGAAGCAGUAGUGGAUGUGCCUUUCCAUCAUUGAAGCACUUAUGGUUACGGGAUAUGCCUAACUUGGAGGAGUGGAUUGGAAUUGAUGAUAGGUGCAUUUUUCCUCAACUUCAUUCUAUGUAUAUUGCUGAUUGCCCUAAUUUGAGAGGAAUUCCUACUCUGCAUUAUGGUCUAAGAGAUUUGCAUAUUUCUAAUGUCGGAUUGACCGCUUUUCCAACAAUAAAUCAAGAUUCCGCAAACAACAAUGUAAGUGCUUUAUUUUAUAAACUUUAAAUUUCUCUCCUGAGGUUUAGCUCAUUUUCACUUGCCCUCCUGUAGUUCAAAAAAAGUAUCACUUUGCCCCCUCCCAUGGUUUAGCCGCUUAUUUUCACUUUGUCAUCCCGUGGUUCAAAAAGUUACACUUUGCCUCCUUUGGUUUAGUUUAUUUUUCACUUUGCUAUCCUAUGAUUUUUUAAACAUUUUUAAUUUGCCACGCUAUUUUAUAUAGAAUUUUUUUGCUGAAAUAAAAAUUAAUCUACAGGAGGGCGAAGUAAAACUUUUUGAACCACAAGGUGGCAAGGUGAAAAUGAGUUAAAUCACACGGUAGCAAUUUGAAGUUUACUCUUAUAUCAAAACACCAAUUCGAAUUUGCAUAGCUGUGGUUGCCGAGACUUAAAUAUCUUUUACAUCUUUCCUUUCUUGCAGCAGCAAGAACAUUUUCAGGCUCUUGAGAGGUUGGUCAUCGGACAAUGUGAGAAGCUCGAAUAUUUUCCAACAGAUUUUUUUGGGAAAUUCAAUGCCAUAAAAUCCCUGUGUGUAGAGAAGUGUCCGAAGUUGACAAAACGUGGGAUCUCAGACAUCCAAGUGCCCUCUGUACUCGGUGAUCUCACAAUUGGGUCAUGUGGCGACCUUGAGGCGCCAUUGCUGUGGUCAGCGAAUUUAACCUCUCUUACUGAGUUGAAAUUAUUCGAUUGUGCAAGGAUAGCAUCCCUUCCCCCAGCACAAGUGUGUGCACGAUGGACGAUGCUUUCCCGUCUAAUGAUAAAGAACUGCAAAGAACUGUCAUCAUUUGGCGGAAUACAAGCUCUCAUAUCCCUCCGAUAUUUAGAUAUUGAAGGGUGUGACAAGCUAAUUGAAGUUGCCCUGCUGCUGCAGCCUCCGUUCCCAAACGAUGUCGGCCGAAAAAAGAAUGCUGCAGGACUGGACUGCUUUUUGAAGAAUGGCAGACUAUCAAUUGACCACCACGCGCUCCUGCUCAUGGAGCCAUUGAGAAGUCUGACCUUCGUCAGUGUUUUCUAUUUCAAUCCCGCUUCGCAACCCACCAGCUUACCUGAGGAAUGGCUACUGCAAAAUCACGCUGCCCUCGAAAAGAUAAUCAUAUCGGGCGCAUGCUCCCUUCAGUCCCUACCCCGGAGCAUGACAAAAUUGUGCUCCCUCGAGUUUUUGGAAGUGUGGAAUGCUAACCUCAUCCAGUCACUUCCAGAUCUGCCUAAUUCCCUACAUACUCUACGCCUCAACUGCUGUCACCCUGUGUUGAAGGAGCGAUGCCAAGAGAAUAUAGGCCUUGAUUGGCCCAAGAUUGCCAACAUCCGUUAUCUGAGGAUUGCAUAGCAUUAUUUGCAGAUCGUGAUGAUGAUGCAUAUUAAUUGUAAGUACACUCUACCGCCCUUCAUCUCGUAACCCUUUGUUGUAAAUAAUGCAAUUCAUUUUGGUCUUAAUUAAUGAACUACAUACAUCUCAUUCAGUCUUAACAAAGUUAUCUCAUUUCUUACGGGAUUAAUUGCUCACCUUUUUUCAGAUAAUGCAAGAGUAGCCAGGUUCCUUUUUAAUUAGCAUCCUCAAUGGAAUUUUUACAUUUUGUACUCUCAUUUUAUGAUUUGGAUACAUAAAAAGGGGAAUAAAGCACUAAUUGCCUCCUAUAAUACAUUGUGCUCGCAGGACGGAUUGGUCUUAUAUAUAAAACAAACAAUGUAAUGAAUAUAACAUAUGUUAAUUGCUAGCAUGUCAAUUGCUUUCUAAAGUUAAAUAUGACUAAUUAUGCAGUAAUUUCUCUCUAGGAGUGCAAAUAAGACUAAAGUCUCGCUGAUGAGUUAGAACAAAAGAGAAGCAUGACAAAAGCUUUUUAAGUUUGUUAAAUUUCUUGUUGCAGGGGUGAUGAUGCAUAUUGUACGUACAUUGUUAGAUGUGACUUGAAAUUGAUAAUCGACUUCAGUUCGGGGUUUCGACUUGCCGGCAGUUUCGCGGUGCGGCCAAAUUGGAAAAUAAAGUUGUGAAGGAAAAAUGAAUAUCUGUGGUGGAUAGCAGAGGGCUCGGGCCAACCCGCGGUACGGAUCGGAUCCGAAACCGUUAAGAGUUUCCUUUUCAUUUUUGCCCUAAAGGCGAUAGAUCAUGGUCGGUUGUAUCUUGAACAUUGUAUUUCCCUUUUUCGACAGUGAAGUUCUCUCCUCCCUCGCCCGUGGUUUUUCCCUGCAAAGAGGUGUUCCAUGUAAAUCUGUGUGUUCUUCUUUUUCUGCUAGUGGUUUGUUUAUUUCGUGUUCGUCAUUUUCGUUUUCCGUUUGUGCGUUUGUCAUAACAUACACUUUACCGCCCUUCACCUCGCCCAUGCUACCCUUUGUCAUUGAUGCAAUUCAUCCUGGUCUUAAUGAACAAGUUCUCAUUCAAUCCUAACAAGUUUAUCUCAUUUGUUACAGGUUUACUUCCUUUUUUUCUGGACACUGCUCUUUUUUGGAUAAUGCAAGAGCAGCCAGGUUCAUAUUUAACUUAGCAGACUCGAAAGAAUUUAUACUUUUCACCCUUAAUUUACAGUUUGGAUACUGGUCAGUUGUUACAUCUAUCUUGCUAGGCCUGAAUAUUGAAGCAAUGGAUUAGUCAUGUAAGACAAACAAUGCAAUGAUUAUUAUAAAUAUAUGUUGCCCCAGUAAUUACUUAAUUUCUACAAUUAAACAUGACUAGCUAGUUGUCCAGUAAUUCUUUCCAGGGGAAAUUAGAGAAGCGCGACAAAGCAUUCGAGUUGUUUCAAGGAAUUAAGGAUUAGGACAUCCUUCGUCUUACUGCGUGCAUGUGUUCUUCUAUUUUCUUGGUGCAGGUUUAGAGAAAGACUCCAUGUAAUAUUGCAUUUUCUUUCUUUUUAUUUUCUAUUGCCAGAUGAGUACUUGAAAAUGUUUAAGAAAGAAAUUAUCCUCUUUUGGAGCAAAUUAAGAGGUUAAGCUUAAAUGCUUCAACUCUGUUUCCCCUCACUUUUUCUGCAUUUAUCCGAAAGAUAUUUUAAUAUUGUUUGAUUCAUGUAAAAGUAGCAAACCUCAUCGCAUGGUGAGCUUGUUUUGUUUGUGUAUUAUCUGAUGAAGUUGCUGAGCUUCUUUGAAGUAGCUUAAAAACCUAAUUUGGAAACUGCUUAUUUCAAACUAUGUUUAUUUAGCAGCAUAACAAGCAUCCAGAUUAAGCUUGUGAACUUAAUUUCUGCAGUAUAAAUUAUACAUUAAGUUUUGUUAAACUUAUUUUAAGUUUCUAGUGCAGGUUUCAUCGACAUCUGGAGUAAAUUUGGUAGGCGUGCUCCGUCGAAAAGACUCGGUCAGACUCUUUGUAAAAGGAAAAUGACGGCUACACUGGAGGCGGCAUGAACUCGCAACCAUAUUCUGCAGCUACCAUAUUUUAAUCUCUUUAUCAGAUUUUUUUUAAAAAAUUUAUUUUCCUAAUGCAUUGAAGACAGAAAAACACAUUCGGAACCGAACCAUUUCGGUAAUUGUUGCUCAUGUUCAGUUCAGUCUUCAAUCUGUAUAAGUUUUGUUUUCAUUCGGAUUUUUCGAACAAUGCAUUUCAAUGUACCUUUUCUGUCUGUACUGAGUACACUCCAUUGUGCAGCUCCUUAUUUCCCCCCCUUUUUUUUAUUUACAUUCUCUUAACUUCUUUUUUUUUUCCGAGUUAUUUUAGUUUGUUCAAGUGAAAACUUUGUUAAGUUUCAUGGUUCUAUUAACUGUCGGUUGAUUCAGUUUAUUUGCUAAAAGCUGAUUAAAACCAUUGAAGUAUGGAAAAUGCUUCUUGUACACCCCAAAAUGGGGUGUACAUCUUACACCUACAAUUCUAGAGUUGAUAAAAAUUGAAUUGGUUUUUAGUAAAAUUUUAAAAAAUUGAUGUGACAAGAAUGACUUUAGGAUAGAGUGAGUGUAAAAUGUACACCCCCCUUUUAGAAUGUAUCUGUAGCAUUGCUCUUAAAGUAUUAGUUUUUUUAAAUAAUUCAAUGCUUUUUGAAAGUAAUUUUUAGUAGUUCUACGCGAAAGCAAACUGUAUGCACCGCCCAUAUAUAUGAUCCCAAAAGUUUGAUCUCAAAUAUCUAAAAAGCAUAUAUUGGAAAAAUUAUGAAUUUUGAAAAGGGUAAACUUCAAAUUGGCCACUUGCCGUUUUAGCUUUUUUUUUAUUUUGCCAUUUCAUUUCAUGGUACAAAGUGUUGCAUUUUACUGUUAUGUGGUUUACCACAUAUUUCACUUUGUCAUCAUUUAAUUAUUUUAAAAAUUUUUUACUUUGCUACUUAAUUGGAUAUAGAAUUUUUAAUAAAUAAAAAUUAAAUCAUCUGUGAUUAACCGAACGGGGGACAUCCCAACCCGCUGGAAUCGCAAUAGAUAUAUACUGUCGGGAACUACUAGAACACUAUUCGACCUCUGUUUUACUGCAGCAUGUUGGGCUCUUUGGAAAGAGCGAAAUUCGAGGAUCUUUCGCAAUCGACGAGUCACGCACGAAGAAAUGGGAAAAUCCAUUAUGGCUGAAGUACAGUUCUGGAGAUCCACCUGGGGGGGAUGAUUGAGUUUGGAUUGUGGGUUCAACUUAUGUAAUUCAUUUUUCUGUAUGUGCUGAUUUUACUCUUUGUUCCACUGUACUCCAAAAAUAGGGUAAAUCCCUGUUUAAUCAAAAAAAAAAAUUAAAUCAUCGCAGUAGAGCAAAGUGUAAUUUUUUAAACUAUAGAAUGACAAAGCAAAAAUGUGCUGUACUUCAAGGGGGCAAUUUGAAGUUACCAAAACCAACCCUCCUGUGUCGAGUAGUCUAGAGAAUUAAUGGUAAAAAAAAAAAGAGAAAAUUCUUUUUCAAUUUAUAAGAAAUCGGUGUCAAUUUUUUUUUUUUUUUUUUUUUUUUUUUUUUUUUUUCUGUACAUCGGCCAAUUAAAUACAAACGGUGCAGCCAAUAAUUAAUUCCCUUAUGCAAUUACUUCUACAUUAAUAUGAUUUCAAUGAGUAUCUUUUUAAAAUCCAAGCCCAAUUAAACUAACGUGAUGACUAUAUAUUAAAAAAAAUUAAUACAAUAUUUUGAAAAAAACAAAAAGAAAGCUUAUUACUGUAACAUCAAGUAAAAUCAAAAAUCAAUAAUUGUCUAUAAUUCACCCAUAAAGUACUAGUUAAAUUUUAGACUAAAAUAUAGAAAAUUUUUCUGUAAAUAUAUAUCAUGUCAUUUUCUUCUUCUAUUUUGAAAAAAUCUGCAUUAUUUUUCUCUCUGAAUUUUAAGUUUAUGCACUUGGGCCCCAUUGUUACUUGUUAGGUUUCGUCACUGGUCCAUCUAUUUCUUAUAAUUUAUAAUUGAAAAUACCGAAUAGAUACUUAAAAGUACUGAAAAUAUAUUAAAAAAUUAUUUUUUCCCUCCAGAAUGAGUAAGAAUAGUUUUGUCAUUUCACCCACUCCGUUAAUGUUAUAAUUCUCUGAAGACAUAUUUAAAAUUUUAAAAGAAAAAAAUAUACAAUUUUAAAAAAUAGAAAAAAUAUCUUAAUCUUAAUUUUAGUCUAAAUUUUAAUCUUAAGACCUCUAUCACGGAAGUAGCUGAUGUAAUUAUAUGCAAACAAUAAUUUCUCCCUCAGAGAGGGUUUGGAAUAGGGAUGUCAAUGGGUAUGGAUACCCGAAAUUUAUCCGAACCCGAACCCGAAUGAAACGGAUAUAUCCGAUGGAUAUGGAUAUGGAUUCGGAUAUGGAUAUCAAAAAUAGAAACCCGACAGAUAUGGAUUCGGAUAUGGAUUUUGACUGUACCCGACCCGAACCCGAACCCGACCCGAAUCCAACCCGAACCCGAAUUAUUUUGUAUUAUAUAUAAUAUAUAUACAAAUUUGAUGUUAUAUUUGAAUUUAUAUUUUAAAAAUUUAGAUUUAAUAUAAUAUAUUUUGAAAUAUUGAAAAAAAAAAAUUGUUUCGGGUUCAAAUUUUCAGGUUCGGGUUCGGGUUCAGGUUCAGGUUUCGGUCGGGUUCGGAUUUGGAUAUAGAUUUUUAAAAUUCGUCGGGUUCGGGUUCGGGUUCGGAUCUCGGGUUUGGAGUCGGAGUCGGAUUCGGGUUCGGAUUUUUAAAAAUCCAUCCCGAAUCCGACCCGUUGACAUAUCUAGUUUGGAAGUUGGAGAGGACGGAUCAAUUCCUCUGCCGACAAUAAUUGAGUUUGGUUGAUUACGACUGAAGGUAGACAAAUUUCCUGCAUAUUGACUUGUAAGUCUUCUCUGCGAAACUCUUCUUUCAUUUCCUCCCCUCUCCCAAAAAGCACUCAAGAAAUUUCUCUUCGCCAUUUUUUUUUUUUUUUGUUAUGUACUAAAUACCUGUUAAAGAUUGUGAAACAAUCCCUUGGUUUUAAAAACUUAAAUUGCUACGGAAUGAUAUUCUAUUUUAAUAAUUAUAUUCAAUACUCCUUUUUGUUACUAGACUCCAAUCCCUUUUUAUAGGCACCUCUCAAAACUGAAGUUACUAAUUAUGCAUUCAAAUUAGUCGUAUAUUUCGUAAGCACCACAAAACCAUAUAUAUAUAUAUAUAUAUAUAUAUAUAUAUAUAAAGUUGGACUGGGCUACUAUUAGUAGCAAAAUUUCAUUGUUGCUACCAGUUUUUUAGCCUUUGGAUCAACUCUUUCAUUAUUUCUAACCAUUGGAUUAAAUAUUAUAACCCAGUAGGGACCACUCAACCCUAGGGGGACUACUCAACUCUAACCGACUAAUAUCAUCCCGACCCUACAAUUUUUCAUCCAAGGGUUAAAAACUUGAUAGCAAAAAGAGCGUUUUACUAUUAAUAGUAUUCCAGCCUAAUUAUAUAUAUAUAUAUUGUCACGCCCCGGAUUACACGUUCCCCGGGCACGCCGACAAAUCCGCCGUAUACAAAGAAAUUUUCCCUGUAUACGAAGCGAUAGCUGUACCUGUAAAUCAAACACUACUACGAACAGUAGUAGAGAGCUGCUAGAGAAAACUGAAGCUAAAUAAAACAGAGUUUCAUAUACAUAGUUCAGAUCCAAAAUACAGAGCUACUCGCACUGGCGAGUUAAGUCAACUAUGUACAUAAACUCGAAACAAAACAUCUACCUGCAGUAGGGCACCUCUAGCUCAGCACGUCGGGUAGGGCUCUAACUCGCGACGCCCUUGCCUCGAUCCUGGUCCGCAGACGGUGCAGCAGCCGGAACCUGUGGCUCUGCAAAAACAUAGGUAACAACUGGGCGUGAGAACUACUGUAAAAACAAGUAGUCCUCAGUGGGUACCGCCCAAAACAACAUCGGUCACCCACUAAGUCUACAGAAGGGAGCAAGGAUAGAAGGAAAGCAGGAAGCAUACUCUACCGCUAUCAUCCACUACACUAUCAUGCUCUACACUAACCAACUGUAGGAAAUGUCAAAUCUGACCCAAUCCAAAUCGGGACUGUAAGCAUACCCGUCCCCGGGACUGUGAAUACACCCGUCCCUGCCCCGUUGCGACUAUCGGGCUCUAUCCACUCUAACUGGUCCGUGGAGAGCAAGUCCAACUGGCAUGAGCGACACCAACGCAAAAGCACAAGCCUGACUCCGGAGUGGCACUCGUGGGCGCUACCCAACCGAGUAUGCAGCGUAUCUCUGUCGAGCUCAAUCAGGCUCCAACUAGCCAAAGUCAAGUAAUCGACUCAAACUGGUCUAACAACCAACAGGUAACGUGCCCUCGGCACAAUCUGACGCCAAAAAGGCGAUACGGGUCCACCGUCAACUCUGACGGCACCCAACAGUCCGAAACGACCUGAACGACCCUGUAAAAAUCCACUCGGCGAACCAGCACGAGUGUAAAUACAUUCUAAACUACCUGGAGUACUCGUCUCGAAGAAACUGCGACAGUACAAUUUUCUAACGGCUCCUAGAGCUAAAUCAGGUAGUUAAAACUGGUGACAGGUCCAAAUCGCAGGUUUUCUCCUAAUUCAAUUUCCAAGUCCAACAUGUAUAAUUUAAAUAAUUAUAAAACAUGCUCAAAAUUCAGUUCUCACAUUCAAGCACAUAACCCAUGAAUUUGAGCUAAACUAGAUUACCAAAAUUCAGAUCUAUACAUGUCGACGAUUAUGAACUUAGGAGUCGAAACCGAUGUAACCCACCUCGCUCGCUAAUCCCUGGCAGCACGGAACACCCUCGGCUGCAACACCACCUGCUGGAUUGACCAAAAAUGCCCGAGUCUCGAAAUCGAGCGAACUCCAAACUAAAAACGCCAAAAUUCCUCAAUUCAGUCCAAAAUCCACAGCAGCUGAGUAGAAACGGGAUUCGACCGAGCUAACCUUCACCAAAAUUCACAAGUAAGGGCUUCGUGGAUUCCUCUCGCAGUCCCGAAUCCAACGAACCAAGUCUCGUCGCAAUCCGAUGCUCCUACGUCGAGAACGAGCUGAAAUACUAACAGUCGACGGUGGAUUUCAGCAAACAACAAUUUACCGAGAAGAAAUAGAAAUACUUGCUCAAAAUCCAGGGAAGUGCUGAAUUACCCACCUCGACAGCGUCGAACCUCGGUGCGACGUCAAGAACAGUGAAGACGCUCCCUCGCCCGGCCUCCUCGCAAAGCUCCGGCAACAAGCGCGCUCGGACGGCUCGCGGCGCGACGUCGGCGACGGAAUCCCCAACCGGAUUUUCAACCAACACCUAGAGAGAGAGAGGAGAAGAAGAUGGAGCAGAGCAGAGAAAUACUCUCUCUCUCUCUGCUCGGACACCUAAAAGGAGAGGGGAGGUGAGGGAGAUACAAACGAGGUGAGAUUUUACUGUUUUAGCCCUCUACCUACUCCCUUGUACCGGUACACGGGCUCCUGUACCGGUACAAGAGCCAACCCGAGAGCAGCUAAAUCUGUGCGCGUAGCUUGUACCGGUACAGAAAACCCUUGUACCGGUACAGCAAGCAUUCCCCGCGCUGGUUGUACCGGUACAGCAUAGUCUUGUACCGGUACAGCAAGCAGGAAAAUCUGCUAUUUUGCAGAUUCCUUCGCUGAAUGCUGCCCUCGCGUCGCACGGAGUCCGUUUUGCGUCUAUUUGACGCCAACGCGACUCGGACUUGUCCCGACACUCUCCAGAGCUGUCGACAAGCCCCCACAGCCAGACACCAGGGAUCUCACAUAUAUAUAUAUAUAUAUAUAUAUAGAGUCCGGCUACUAUGCUAUUAAUAGCACGAAACACUUGGUGCUACCAAGUUUUUCGCCGUUAGAUCUACCCUUUUGAUCAUUUUCAUCCGUUAGAUCAUACUAUUUAACCAACCACCCACUCAACCCUAGGGGACCCACAUCAUCCUAAUCGCACAUCUCUUAAUCCAAUGGCUAAAAACUUAGUAGCACCAAUGACUUGAUACUAUUAAUAGCAUAGUAGCCUAGUUCUAUAUAUAUAUAUAUAUAUAUAUAUAUAUAUAUAGAGAGAGAGAGAGAGAGAGAGAGUUCGGGUCCGGUGGUUUUAAAAAUAUCAAGCACUUAAUGCUCGUAAGCUGUUUACCGUUAGAUCUAUCUUUUGAUUAAUUUAGCCCGUAAAUUAUAUUAUCCGACCAACCACUCACUCAAACCUAUAAGACCGCUAUUAUCCUAAUGCUACAAAUCUUCAUCCAAAGGCCAAUCAAUUCCUCUGUCGGCAAUAAUUGAGUUUGGUUGAUUACGACUGAAGGUAGACAAAUUUUCUGGGUAUUGACUUGUGAGUCUUCUCUACGAAACUCUUCUUUCAUUUCCUCCCCUCUCCAAGAAGUAUUCAAGAAAUUACUCUUCGCCAAUUUUUUUUUUGUUAUGUACUAAAUACUUGUUAAAGAUUGUGAAACUUAUUUUUAAAGUUUAAAUUGUUACAGAAUGGUGUUCCUUUUAAUAAUUAUAUUCAACAUUCUUUCCCGCGGCUGAGCUUAUUAUUAUUAUUAUUAUUUUUUAAUAGGCUUGCAACGUGAAGUUGAAUUAAAUGAAUGAAAAUUAACUGAUGUAAGGAAGGGGCGCAGCGGCUUUGAGCAUGUCUCGCCAAAUAGGGCAGCAAUCCUUAGGACUCGGACAACCCAGGGAAGGAGCCAUGCGCCUAUAAUAUUUCUUACACUAGUUUUUUGGUUUGUUUCUUUUCUUUGGGUGAUCGUUCUAUCCUGUCUUGUUUAUGAUUCGGCAACCCCAUCUGAAAUAGGGUAUUCCCCUGUUUAAUCAAAAAAAAAAAAAUUUAAAUGAAUGAAAAUUACUAGACAAGGGCCCGGCGGGAUUCAAACUCUGAACCUUCUAUUCUGAUAUUAUAUUAAACAAUCUGAAAUGAUCAUUAUACUCUAAAAACUUAAGCUAUCGGAAAAUAGUGUUAUGUUUGGGCUCAAGGCUUUUUACGAGGUUCGAGGUGUGGAUUUGAUUUAAAUAGGGAAAAAAAAAAAUAAACGCAUGUUUGGUAGUCGAAAUAAAGGAUUACUACUUAUUCUGCGUAAGAAUUUUCUAGUGUAAUUGUAAAAAAAGAAUUUGAUUUUUUCUCCUUGAAAUAUCCUAAUAUUCGUGAUUUGGAUAGUAUAAUCUAUAUUUCACCUACGAGGUGAUUUAUUUAUUCGAGAAACAACUUGAAUGCUAAGUGUACGUAAUAUCUAAUUUAGACGUUUGAUCACACUUUUCAUCCACCAAAUAUAUAAACUUCUCAAAUAUAUAACGAAAAUAUAUCGAACAAAACAUUCAUGUAUCCAGACAUGACCAAAUAGAACAAAGGUGUAAAAGGAACUAGAAGAAAAGUGUGCGGAGAAAUUGUUCUAUAUUUUCCAAUAAGACCGCAAAAUUUAUAUAUGAUAAUUUUUUACAAAUAAAAAUCAAAUAUUUUUUCAUCACAUAUUCUUGCCGUGGUAUCACUCAAUUUCAGUGAAGUCUAAAAUAUCUACAAAGGUGCGGUGGAUAACAAAGAAAUAUUUAAACAUGCAUGUCUUUCAAAACUUUGCUACUUUAUUUGUGCAGCUUGCAUUAUAUUUCCUCCCCUCUUCUAAGAAGCAUACAAGAAAUUACUCUUUUUGGAUCUUUCUUUUGACUCCUGCUAUUAUUGCUAGCUACUCGACGGUACAAAGCAAUUCAAAUUAGAUAAAAUUUAAAUAAAAAAUUAUAUUUAUCAUCAGGAGCAAUAUUAGUUCUUCUAAUUUAAACUUUAAGUCAUUUAUUAUUAUUUUUUUCAUUUAUUUUGAGACUACUCAGUCACUAGACAAAUAAAGUCAAAAAAUUAUAAAAUUUGAUUUCUAGAUAAUUUCAAUAAGAGAUAACUUCAAAAAACCCCCCCUGUGGUUUUGCAUUUUCUCACUUUAGUACCAUGUGGUUUAAAGUGUAUCAAUUUGUCCCCCUGUAGUUUUAUUAUCAAUUUUAUUAUUAUUUUUUCUUAAAUCAGUGACAAAGUUAAAAAUUAAAGGAUACUAAAGUAAAUAUUCGAUAAAUCUAUGUGGGUAUCUGAAGUAUUUUUGUAUAUAGUUUAACGAAAUAUUAAGAAAAAAGCUGUCGAAAAGAUAAAAACAAAACCACAAGGGGGCAAAAAAAAAUUUAAAAGCAUGUAGGUCUCUGUGCUUUCAAAAGCAUAAUAGCCUUGCUCGAUAUAAUAAAACUCUUUGAGGAAAGAAACAUUACAAUAUAACAAAUAAAAAUAAUACUAAAAUACAUUGCAGUAGAGUGCAAUUAAGCCUUGUUUUUACUAAAAUACAGUGCAGUACAGUACAGUAGAGUGGUGAUCUUUGGCACUUCUUUUCUGCAAGUUCCUAAUUAAAGCAUUCCCUUUUCUUCUUUUUUUUUGGAUUCCUUGUUCUCUGUUUUUUUGUUUGGAUGUGAAGGUUUCCAAAUGGUUGAUUGAUCAACUUCUUGACUAGUUUUAUAGAGCGAGUCUUCCAAGCAUCUUUAUUUCUUUGAAAGUAAAGUGGGCAUAUUUAUGGGGCCCACUUUACUUAAUAAAGUUUUCAACUAUUAAACGUUAUCAAGAAUAUCCCACAGCAAUUUGCCCCACCAAUAUGAUAAGAUUGAGUUGAUUUAGGGGGUGUGUGGUUGGUUUCUGAAAAAGGGUAAUUGUUUUUUUUUUUUUUUGUUUUUAAUUUCCUAAAAAGCAGCUUUUCACCUUAAUUUCUUUUCUUGGGGGAUCAAAUUAAUAAAACAGGCCAUACUCUAUUUAUUGCUUUGCCAUGCAAAAGUCUCCACGAUUCCAUUCUCAAGUUUCUCCGAAACUCAUUCCUCCUCAAUCCUUUCUUCUUUGCAAGCUGAACCUCUCUUCUCUCAUUCUCCAAUUUCUGCACUCCAGGAUCGAGUUUCAUCAAUUUGCCUGAGUAGCGGUGAAGUCGAUCAUGGCUCUAACCUUCAUAGCCGAAUCUGCGGCGCCGGCGAUCAUCGAGAAUCUUGUUAGCACAUGCUCAUCCUACCUCGUGGCGUGCCCGGCGCCCUGAGGUGUACCUGUUAUGCUUAAAGUCGGCAUAUUUUGAUUUACGGGGUGGGGUAAGUGUUUGAUUAAUUCUGAAAAAAUAUUUUUGAAAAUAAUUUCCCAGCUGAAUUUAUUAUUAUUAUUUUUUUAGCUUGUUUAGUUUCAAAAUUUUAUCCGAGAGUUGAUUUAGGGGGUGUGUGGUUUCAAAUUUUUUUAAACAAAAUAAAAAUAAAAAUUGGGGAAUCAAAUUAAACACCCACUUAAUUGGUGGGGGGCUUAAUUAAUUUUGUUGUCGAAUAAUUAAAGCAGCCAUACUCUAUUUGUUAGUGGAUGUCCUCCACGUUGGAUGUCAGCAUGCAAGAACUUAAUUAUUCCUCCUAAUUAAUCUUUCUUCGUUGCAAGCUCAACCUCUCUUAAUUUCCUCUUUCUCCAACGUUUUUCACUGCAGGAGCUUGAUCAAUUGCCCGAGUAGUGGUGAAGUAGCCAGCUAGUAGUCAAAUCGGCUAAAUUACAUGGUUACCUUCUGAACUUUUGGUGGAGUUUCACUUUACCUCCUAAACUCAUAAAAUGAACAUUUAAUAUUCUAAAUUCUAAAUAUUUUAUUCUUAUUAUUCUUUUCGUCAGUUUUUUAUUAAUAGAACUUGACGGUAAACUGAUGGAAUGGAUAACAUGAAUUAAAUAUUAAAAUUUAGAAUGUUAGAUUCCAUUUUAGGAGUUUGGAGUUAAAGUGAAUUUCCGCCAAAAGUUCUGAAGGGUAACAAUGUAAUUUAUUCUAUAUAUGUAUACACUAUUAUUUUUUAUGGAUGUUACUAAACUAUUUUUUUAUGCUAAUCUCCAUAUUACUGUUAAUAAUUCUAUUAUUUUAGACAAAAUUGAACAACUUAUUCAGGAAUAUUGGUUGAAAAAUAGGGAAAAAAAAUUGUAAAAUGAAUCUUCCUAAUUGACUCAUUGAAAGCUUUUAUCAAGUUAUUUUUAAUCCUUUUCAUUAUUUUUAUUUUUUUUGUUAUUUUUUCUGUCAAAAUGAGUUGAAUAUAAUUACUCUGUCACUUUUAUCCAGUAUUUUAUAGCAUCUUUCAUACAAAUUAUAAGUGGAGAAAUGAUUCGAUACUUUAUUAUUAAAAAAUAAAAUAGAUCUUAGCCGUUGAUUAAUAGAGGGUAAAGAUGUAAUUUUAAUAUUUAGCAAGUAAAUGGAUUACAUCAUUCGAGGUUAUUUCGGUAAUUAAACUAGACAACAUUUAAAGAAACUUUUAAUUGAUAUCCUAAAUUUAUACAUUAAUUUGCACUAAUUUAGAAAAUUGAUUGAUUAUCCUAAUUUAGGCAUUAAUUAAGCAUUAAUUUACGAAUUUAGUUUAGAAAUUUACAAAUUUAGUUUAAACAUAAAAAUUAAAAAGAUUAGGAUUACUAUUCAGAAAAAAAAAAUGGUUAGAAAUUUGAAUUCGAACCCGAUUAAUAAUCACAAUAUCAAUUUCCGAACUCGACGGAUUUCAAAAAUUCAUAUCGAAACCCAAAACUAACCAGUUUUUCGAAAUCCAAAACCAAAUCCAAACCGGAAGACGGGAACCCGAAAUAAUUUUUUUUUACCAUAUUUCAAAAUAUUUUAUAUUAUAUUUAAAAUUUUAAAAUAUAAAUUUGAAUAUAAUAUUAAGCUUUAUAUAUGAUUCGGGUUGGAUUCAAGAUGGACAUAGAAAAAAUUCAUAGUUGGUUCACAAAAUAAUUUCAUGUUCUUGUUGUCGAAUAAUUUAAAAAUUUCUUAUAUGAAAUGCCAAAUAUAAGAGGAAAGAUAGAGAGAGAAAAAAGAAAUAAAGAGAGAAUAAAAAUUUUAAUAAUAUACUAGAGAUAAAAUGACUAAAUUGCUCAUAUAUUAAAAGACAAAAAUACUCUUUUUUGAGAUACCUGGUGACCGGUAUCUCUCCUAAAAUGACCUGCUAUUGCAGGUCACAAUUUUAAGAAAAUUAAAUUUAAACCGUUGAACGGGAGUGAAUGAACAGUAACGAAAAAAAAAUAUAAAAGAAUUACUCUUAUUAGUUUAUUACUAAUAGUGUAAGCAGACUGGAAAAAAAAAAAAAGAAUAGUUGAUUUGUGCCUAAAAAAGAAAUAGUAUAAUGUAAAAAGCGAAAAAGAAAAAAUGAAAAAUACAGUAUCUUACAUUAUAAUUAAGUUAAGUAAAAAAAUUUAAGCUUUGAUUUACAAAAGAGUUUUUUUUUUUUUAAAAAAAUAGCAUACUAGCUGCUUCGUUUAUUUUAAUUAAAAAUAAAUUUAACUAAAAAUAUAAAUUAAUUGAAAUGAUUCAAAUUUGGGAACUUAGAUAUUAACAACCAAAAUCAUUAGGAAAGAGUUAAUUAAAGUUCAGAGGCUCUUUGUACAGUUUCCGGUCCCUUGUGUGAUCUAUAACCCUCUAUUAUUGGCUAUGCAGACAAUAAUUUCUCCCUCGGAGAGAGUGUGAAGUGGAGUGGGGCCGGGCAGAUUCCCUCUGUCUGGCAGUAAUUGAGUUUAAUUGGUUGGCUGUGACAGAAGGCAGACAAAUUUGACCGGUAAGUCUUCUCUGUGAAACACUUCCAUUUCAUUUCCUCCCCUCUUUCCGAGAAGCAUGCAAAGAAAUUACUCCUCCCCAGUUUUUUUUUUUUUUUUUUCUUUUCUUUUUUUGGGUAUGUCCUAGCUGUAUGCUUGUUAGAAAUUAAUUUGAAACAAACUGCUUCUCUCAAGAAGCUUAUUUGCUCGCUACUGUUACUGAAUUAAAGUGGGCAUAUUUUGAUUUAGUGUUUGAUUUCUGAAAAAAUUAUUUUUGAAAAUAAUUUUCUAGCUAAAUUUAUUAUUAUUAUUUUAUUUAGCUUGUUUUGUUUCUAAAUUUUAUCCGAAAAUUGUCUUCCCUAUUCAAAAAAUAAAAAUUAUACUUUUUUUUUUCCCGUAAAACACUGGUUUUCAAUUUUUUUUUUGAAAAAAAAUUGGGGAAUCGAAACACCCACUUAAUUAAUGGGGGGCUUUUGUUGUCAAAUAAAGCAGCCAUGUGGCAAAUAAUAAAGAAGUAUGGAAACAGAAGUAUGUAAACACCAUGUGGCAAUAAUAAUUUCUCCCUCUGUCGUCAUUUGGCAAUAAUUUCUGAAUGCUUUCACACAAGGAUUUAAGUGCCGUGGCACAUGGUCGUGCCGGAAACUUGCCGUGCCGAGCCGUACCGAUGCGUGCCGGUCAAAAAAAUUCAUGUGUGCCGAUACAUAAUAGCAUGAAAUAUUUAUUUUCUUUAGCAACAAAAUAUUCUAAUUAUUUAUUAUGUCUUUUUAUCACAUCUUUUGAAUUUUAUUGAGGAAAUUACUUACUAAUUUAAAGAAUAGAGGGUUUUGAGCUGUGCCAUUGGUACAGGGUCUGUAUCGUGCCGGUAUCUUGUUGGCACGAUACGGCACGGUAGAUACGGCCCGUGCCGAUGGGCACUUAUAACUUUGCUUUCACAUGUAAUGUCUUCUAACCAAAACUUGCACCUUGCAUUACAUUUCCUCCCCUCUUCCGAGAAGAAUGCAAGAAAGUACUACUCUUCGCGCGUGGAUCUUUCUUUGAUGCCUGCGCGCGAUUGUAUCUAUCUAUCUACUCAGCUAAUAAUUGUUUCGGCAUCUCUCUUUCCUCAUCCUCUAAUUUUCUGCAUUCUAGGACCGAGUUUUCCAUCAAUUGCCUGAGUAGUGGUGAAGCCAAUCAUGGCUCUAACUUUCAUAGCCGGAGUGGUGGCAACGGCGAUCAUCGAGAAGCUCGUUGAUACAUGCUUUUCCUACAUCAAAGCUUACCCGGGGCUACGAGGCGUGCGGGACGAGCUGGAAAGGCUGCAGCUGGCCCUUCCGCAGAUCCAGACAGUCUUGACUGCCGUAGAGGAGGCGGCGUCUAUUGCAGAGCAGAACGAGGCGCUGGAUGCUUGGUUGUGGCAGCUCAGAGAUGCUGUGGAGAACGCGGAGGACGUGCUCGACGAGCUGGAGUACUACGAGCUGAAGAAGACUAUAAAAGAUCGAGAUGACAAGGUGCGUGGCAUUCUCUAUAAAUGCAAGAAAAAGUUUGACCGUUUUGUUGAUCGUAAAUUUAGCAAUGACACACUGAAGCGGUUGAGGGAGGCCGUUAAGGGGUUAGAUAUGGUUGUUGCCGGCAUGGGGCCACUAGUUCAACUUGUUACUGGGUUAUACGGUCCUAGUGUUAAGUGUCAAAAGCUCGAGGAAAUCAAGAAUGCUCGCGAGACUAGCUCCUUGGUAAUCAAAAGUGAGGUGCUCGGACGAGACAAGGAGACGGGCCUGAUAGUCGAAUGGCUGAUCAACCCGGGAGAUGCUGAUGUUGAUGUCUCCGCUUUUACAAUUGUUGGUAUGGGUGGGCUUGGGAAGACUACCCUUGCUCAACUAAUCUAUCAAGACGAAAGGGUGCGAGAGUACUUCGACCCCAUUAUGUGGGUUUGCAUUUCUCAGGAUUUCGAUGUAACUGUGAUAACAAGAAAGAUUGUAGAAUGUGUAAGUAGUGGGAGUUUUGGCGACAAGAGUCUACAUGCGCUCCAUGAGAAUCUUAAACACAAACUAACGUCGAAGAGGUUUUUACUCAUACUGGAUGAUGUUUGGAACGAUGAUAAAAUGACGGAGUGGGAGAAAUUGGUUGCUCCUUUGAAAUUCGAACAGAGAGGAAGCAAGAUCCUGUUGACAACUCGAAUGGGUUCAGUUGCGGAUAUGGCGGCAAAAGUGCUGAAAUGCAAGCGAGAGUCAUUAAAUCUAAAUGAGUUGGAGGAGAACGACUAUAUGUUGCUUUUCAAUAAGCAUGCAUUCCUCGGUGUGAACCCUGAUGACUAUAAAAACUUGCAACCGAUUGGUGAACGUAUAGCGAAGAAACUUGGAGGAUGCCCACUGGCAAUAAAGGUCAUGGGAGGAUUGCUGAACUCCUGCAUGGACUAUAAAUAUUGGAAGAAAAUCUUGGAAGAAGACAUCAUGAAAUUACAACAUGGAAAUGACAGCAUUAUGACAAUUUUGAGAUUAAGCUACGAUCACUUACCCACAAACUUACAACUCUGCUUUAGAUAUUGUAGUUUAUUUCCACAGGAUCAUAUGUUUAAGAGGAAAAAGUUGGUCAAUAUGUGGAUUGGUUCAGAUCUGAUUCCGCAAUCUAUUUGUGGCAGGCAAAGGCCAGAGGAUAUCGGAAAUGAGUAUUUAAAUCUUCUGGCAAAAAAAUCAUUCUUUACUUGCAAAACCAGUGCUAAUGGGUUGAAAAUUACUAAAGAGUAUUUUAUGCACGAUCUGCUGCAUGACCUAGCACAAUCAGUUUCUCUAGGAGAAUGCAUCAGAGUAGGAGGUGACGUUGCAAGAAUUACUAUUCCACGGACAGUUCGACAUUUAUCUGUUGAAAUGGUCAAUUUUCUUUCCAUCAGAGAGAUCUCCAAUCUUAAGAACGUGCGCACUCUUGUCAUUUCUGUGAGAGAGGACAAUACCCAUAAUGCAGAUCAUGCACUUGAAUUUAUUGAGGUUAUAAAAGGGUUUAAAAAGUUACGCUUAUUGAUCUUAGAUGUGAUGUUUGACCCUUAUAAACUGCCCGAUGCACUUAGUAGCUUGAUACACCUCCGCUACCUAUCUCUUUCACUAUGGAAAGUUAUGAAUGAAAGUAUUGAAUAUGAUGGCUUGACCAACUUGGUCAAUUUGCGUUCAUUAGAUGUUUUCGAUGAUGUGAUACAAAAAAUUCCUUAUAUUAGCAAAUUACCCUUCAUCCACGAAUUACAAAAUUUUGUUGUCCGAGAGGAGAGUGGUUACAAAAUUGGUGAACUAGAGAACCUCAGGGACCUUCGUCACCUGUGUAUUAGGGAACUUGAAAAUGUGAGGACUUCUCAAGAAGCCAUUGAGGCCAAGUUGAAUCAGAAAAAAUAUCUCAAAUCAUUGUCAUUGCAAUGGUCCGCAGGCCGCUUCAAUAGUGCAGAGGCAGAUGAACAGCUCCUCGAUAACCUCUGCCCUCAUAUCAAUCUCAAGAAAAUGUGCAUCGAACAAUACCAAGGUGCUAAAUCUCCAAGUUGGAUGACAAAUCUGUCUCUUGUCAAUUUGACAUCCAUCAAACUGAUUGAUUGUAAAGGAUGGAAGCACCUUCCACCUCUUGGGCAGUUUACUUCGCUGCAAUCUCUACACUUGAGGGGACUGCAUGCAAUAAAGCAAAUAGAUUGUUCAUUCAUCAGAAGCAGCAGUGCAUGUGACUUUCAAUCGUUGAAGUUCUUACAGUUACGAGACAUGCCUAACUUGGACGAGUGGAUUGGAGUAGAUGAUGGGUGCAUGUUUCCUCAACUUCUUUCUAUGAAUAUUAUUGACUGCCCUAAUUUGAGGGAAAUUCCUACUCUGCCGUAUAGUCUAAGUCGAUUGCAAAUUUCAAAUGUCGGAUUGACUGCUCUUCCAACAAUAAAUCAGAAUUACACGGAAAACAAUGUAAGUGCUUUAUUUUAUAAACUUCAAAUUUCUCCUGAGGUUUAGCUCAUUUUCAUUUACCCCCCCUGUAGUUCAAAAUGUAUCACUUUGCCCCUUCCCCCCCUGUGUUUUUGCCUAUUUUUUACUUUUGUCUAUCUCAUGGUUUGAAAAGUUACACUUUGCCUCCUUUGGUUUAGCUCAUUUUUUGCUUUGCUCUCCUGUGAUUUUUUUAAAAAAUAUUUUUAAUUUGCCUUCUAUUUCAUAUAGAAUUUUUUUGAUGAAAUAAAAAUUAAGCCACUGGACGGCAAAGUAAAACUUUUUGAACCGCAAGGUGGCAAGGUGAAAAUGAGUUUAAUUAACCACACGGGGUGCAAUUUGAAGUUGAGCAAUGCUUCAAUACUUUGUUGUAAUCUUAGCCGUUUAUUUUUAAUCAAUGAAGGGUUAAGAUUUAUGCAUAAAAAAAGAUGACCUACUAUUGCACAAGAAGUACCGGUCACCAGGUAUGUGAUUUAGGGGUGUUUUUGGAAAAAAAAAAAAGAGCUAAUAUUAAAAAAUUAAAUAACUAAUAUUGGAAAGUUUUGCAUACUACCCUUAAAUCAUGGAGAGAAUAAAUUUUUAAUUAAAUUAUCCAUUUUUAAAGCCGAUUUUAAUAAUAAUUUAUGAUCGCAUUUGAGUCAUAAAUUUAGUAAUUUAUAAUUUAAAAUUAAUUUUCAAACAUCGAAACUUUAUGUUUAAAUAGUUAACAAAAUUUAUUUUUUAAGUAUAAUAUAAAUUAAAUCUAAAUUUAUAAUUUAAAUUUGAUCAAUAUUUUUGAAAUUUAAUGCUGUAUUUCAAUAUUGAAUUAACAGUUUCAACUUACUUUAAAAUGUAGAAAUCUUUUAUUUACAUAAAUAAUAAAAGUUUAUAAAUACACUAUAACUUAAAUUACAAUUUUAAAGAUAGUAACAUUAAUUUUUGAACUUUCAUGUUAGUUUAAUAUUGAAUUGAUAAUUUGAAUUGAAAUGUUUACUCGUUUAAAUAUAAAUUUUUCUUUCUAAAAUUUAAAUUUAAUUUAUACAAUUAUAAAUACAAAGUUUAAACUCAAGUUAAAUUUUAAAUUCGAAUUUAUAAAGAUUUAUCACUUAUGAAAUUAACCAUUAUCUAAGUUGGUAAGUAACAAAAUUAAAUUAGGAAAUGAAGAUUUGUUGGAUAUUAUCAAAUUUGGUAAUUAGAUAAUGCAUACUUUCAAAUAUUAUCUUUAUGAUUGAUUGGUAACAUGUUGAGCAGGUUACCAUUGUGUAAAAGUCAAUCUUAACCGCAAAAAUUGAAUGAUCGGAUUUAAAUUGGCCGGUGUAUAGAAGUAUUUCUGUAUAUUAAAACACCAAUUAAUUCGUAUUUGCACGGCUAUGAUUGCCCGGACUUAAAUAUGUUUUACAUCUCUUUUCUUUCUUGCAGCGGCAAGAACAGGAUCUUGAAUAUGUUCCAACAUGUGGCGAUCUUGACGUGCCAUUGCUGUGGUCAGCAGAUUUAACCUCUCUUACUGAGUUGAAAUUAUUCGAUUGUGCAAGGAUAGCAUCCCUUCCCCCAGCACAAGUGUGUGCACGAUGGACGAUGCUUUCCCGUCUAAUGAUAAAGAACUGCGAAGGACUGUCAUCAUUUGGCGGAAUACAAGCUCUUGUAUCCCUCAGUUAUUUAGAAAUCAAAGGGUGUGACAAGCUAAUUGAAGUUGCCCUGCUGCUGCAGCCUCCGUUCCCAAACGAUGUCCGCCAAAACAAGAAUGCAGCAAUGGACUGCUUUUUGAAGAAUGGCGAACUAUCAAUUGACCACCCCGCCCUCCUGCUCGUGGAGCCAUUGAGAAGUCUCUCCUCCAUCAACGUGUUGACUAUCUCUGAUGCUUCACAACUCACCAGCUUACCUGAGGAAUGGCUACUGCAAAAUCACGUUGCCCUCAAAACUUUACGCAUAUCGAAUGCAAUCUCCCUCCAGUCCCUACCCCAGAGCAUGACAAAACUGUGCUCCCUAGAGCAUUUGUAUGUAUAUAUUGCUAAGCUCAUCCGGUCACUUCCAGAUCUGCCUACUUCACUGUGUACUCUACUCAUCUAUGGGUGUCACCCCGUGUUGAAGGAGCGAUGCCAAGAGAAUAUAGGCCUUGAUUGGCCCAAGAUUGCCAACAUCCCUGAUGUGUGGAUUGAACAGGCAGUUGCAGAGCAACGAUGAUGCAUAUUGUACGUUUACUUUACCACCCUUCAUCUCGCCCCUGCUAUAUACUCUCUGCGAUUUACGCAAUUCGUUUCGAUUUUAAUGAGCUACAACAUCUCGUUCCAUCUUAAUCAACAACUGUUAUCUCAUUUGUUUCAGGAUUGAUUAAUUACCUUCUUUUCCCGAAUAAUGCAACAGCAGUCAGGUUCGACUUUAAUUAGCAUCCUCCAUUAGGAAUUUUUUAUAUUUUUAAUUUUUACCCUUAUACUUUAUGGUUUGGAUACAUAAUAAUGGAAUUAAUAUAGCGCCAAUUAAUUGCGCCCUGUGAUUAAUACAUGAUGUUACGCUCGCUGGACGGAUUGGUCUUGUAAAACAAGCAAUGUAAUGAAUAAUAUAACACUAGUGAAGAGGCUCGCGCUUUGCAGCGGAUAAAAACCGUAGUAGUAAUUAAUAAUAAUAAAAUAUUAAAUAUUUUUUUGUGUAUCUCACUUGGUACAUCUACCGAAAGUCUCUCACUGUAGGCGAUAAAUAUCAACCUGACAAUGAAGAAAGAGAGUAAAAUAACUCAUUCUAAAUAAAAUUAAAUAGGGGAGAUGAAGAGACGUAUGUUGAGAGAGAGAGAAUAAAAUGGAAGAGAUGAGAAGACGUAUGUUGAGAGAGAGAGAGUAAAAUGGUUCAUUCUAAAUAAAAAUUGAAUAGGAUAUAUGAAGAAACGUAUUUUGAGAGAGAGAGAGUAAAAUGUCUUAUUCUAAAUAAAAGUUAAAUAGGAGAGAUGAAGAUAGUAUGUUGAAAGAGAGAAUAAAAUGGUUCAUUCAAAAUAAAAAAAAUUUCAAAAUUAAGAGAUUAUGACACAUCAGCUUAAAACAUUGGGGAUUCAUAAAGAGUAAUAGAUAUGUUAAUUGCUAGUAUAUCGAUUGCUUUCUAGAGUUAAAAACUAUGACUAAUUGUCCAGUGAUGAGUUAGAACAUAUAAAAGAGACGCACGCGCGCGCGACAAAAGCUUUCCGAGUUAUUUUAAUUUCUUGGUGCAGGACUGCAGUAACGUGAUAACACUAGUCCUAUAUGUAUUUCACUCAAUUUGUUCAAGAAUAUAAAACGAGACUAGUAAAGUUUAACUGCUUAUGUUCUAUUUCGGUAGUGCGGGAACAUGUAUUGAUUAGGACUCCAUAUAUAUUGCCGCUGAAUCUAGUUUUGCUUAUCUGGGAUAAAACAUGAUUACAAUCAUUCUACGUAUUCUCUCUUCUUUUUAGUUUUCUGGUGCAUGGGUGAAAAAGGCUUGCAUUGUAGUCUAUCGACUUCAUUGUAGGAGCACAACAUGGCUAAAGCCUUGCCGCUUUUGUUCUUCUAUUUAAUUAGUACUGGACUCAUAUAUGACUCCCAAUUCAUGGUCAUGUUCUAUCAAUUUAUUCAUAAGAUUAUGAGAAAAUUAAAGACUAAUUUGUUACUUUAUGCUUGUGUUCUUCAGUUUUAUUGGUGCAGGAUCAGAGUAAGAUUCCUUGCUUCUUUCGUGUGCGUGCGUGUAUAGUAGCCAAACUAAUGUAAAAUCUUUAAGAAAUAAAUUGCCCUCUUUUGCAGCAGGGAGGUUAAAUGCUUCAAUUUUGUUUCUCCUUACUUUAUAUUCGUAUAUACCAAAGGUAAUUUUGUGUUUGAAUAUUCCUGUACAAAUAGGAAAAAUCUUAUAGCCUGGUCAUAGGCUUGUUUUGUCUUGUGUAUUAUCCGGUGAAGCUGUUAAACAUUGCUUUAAAAUGUGUUUCAAAUUAUUACUGGUAUUUUAGCAGUACAGCAAGCACCCAGAUUAAACUCGUGAACUCAAUCGCAGCAGUAUAAAUCACGCUUUUAAAUUUUGUUUAACUUUUUCUUAGUGUUUAGUGCAGGCUCUCAUGGUAGAUUCUCUCUGGAGAGAAUUCCGUCGACUCGCCAUAAGAGUAAAAUGAGGGCUAUGCUGCAGCAGGCAUCAACAUGCAACCACAUCCUGCAAUAUCUUAAAUUUACUUUCUUUACAUUUUUUAAACGAGCUUUAGAUUCAUUUUGCAUCGAUUGCACAAAACAACUGAAGCAUUACUGCGUAUGUUCUAUGUUCGGUGGUGCGAGAACGAAUUAAAGACUCUUAUCGAUUUCUCUGUAUAUAGGAAUGUAACAAGACCAAAGUAGACUACUGCCUAUGUAUUUGUAUUUUCUUUUUGUUCUCGGUGGUGUAUGAAUUAAAAACGCUCCUCUUAUUAUAGCCUAUCGAUUUCGUCCUUGCUACAAAGGAUGGUUAAAGUUGUACUGCUUUGUUUGCAUUCUCCAAUUUUUCUUGGUGAAGGAUCGGAAUGAGACUACUACAGGUAGUCUAUUUAUAUAUGCAUAAUGUGAUUAGUGUCUUUAAUGUAGCUUAAUUUUACUUGUUAUUUCGUUUUACUGGUAUCACGAAUAUUUGGGUGUAAAUACGGAUAAUUACAUUAUAUAUUUUGGAGAAUAAGAUUUGGAGAUGUAUUCUUAAUGAGAGCAAUGCUUCAAUACACCAUAAGUAUAAAAAUUAAGCUCUUAAUUAGUAAAGGGUAUAGUUGGAAUUUACAUAAAGUAACCUAUUGAAUAGGUUACCGAUUUGAAUUAAGUUAAUAUGACAAUAUUGAAAAAAAAUUAGAAGUAUAUACUAAAUUUGUCAGUAUUUUUUAUUUAGUUUUGUUACUUACCAAAUUAGAUAAUGCCCAAUUUGUUAAGUAUCCAACUCAAAAAAAUAUUGAAUAUAAAUUUAAGUUUUGAAGUUGGUAUUGUAAUGUAAAAUUUUAAUUUCAAAAUUUAUAUUAAACUUUUAAAUUUUGAACCUAAUUGAACUUUUAAUCUUAAAGCCAAACUUUAAUUUUUGAUUUAAAUUAAAAUUUUGAAUUUGAACUGAAAGUUUUAUUUUAAAUUUGUGUUUUAUAUUUAAAAAUUGAAUUUGAUUUAUAAUUAAGUUUGUUAUGUUGCUUUGUAUUUAAAUUUAUAAUUUAGUUGUAAUUUGAAUUCCAACUAUUGUUGUAGGUAUUUGAGAAGGUUAUAGUAUUUUUUAGUUGGAUAAAACCGAUUUUAUAGACCAAAAUAUUCUUCUAUGACCAAAAUACCCUUUAAAUAGGUACCGGGUGAAAGGUACUUAUGCCUAAAUGGUAAGUCGCCUCUAGAAUUAUAUUACAUCUCGACCAUCUAUGUAAAAAAAUAAAUGGUCAAGAUUUAUAUAAAAUUUAGAUGGUGUAUUGAAGUAUUACUCAUUUUUAAUUAGCGAAGCGUGCGAAGGCCAGAGUAAUAAUCUGUGUGAUGGCAAGAUAGCAAAUCCCAUAGCUUGAUGAGCUUUUUUUUUUUAUUUUUUGUUUUUCUUUUCACUGUACUCUGAUGAAGUUGUUGAGCUUGUUUGAAGUAGACAAAGUAUCCCAGGGCUGAAGUUGUGAAUUUAAUUUCAGUGGCAUAAAUUAUACUUCAAAUUUUGUUAAACUUCUUAAGUUUUUAUUGAGGGCUGUACAUCGAUUUUGAGAGUAAAUUUGGUCGGUCCGGCCGACUCAUUGUAAAAGGGAAAAAAGGGCUGCUGUACUUCAGCAGGCAUCAACUUGCGAUCACAUCCUGCAGCUAUAUAUCUACUUUUAUUCUUUAUAGUUUUCAAAAAGAAAUUAAAUUUCUUUAUGCAUUGAAGACGAAAAAACAAAGCUCAUAGGCGGGGAUGUAAGAAGGUAAAUUUGUCAUCUACUUAAAAGACACUAAAUAAUUCGCCACUUUAUUAAGGUGACUAAUAAAUCUUAAACUCUACCUACUAGAACCGGCGUUACUCCGGCGAGGUAUGAGGGUUAGAUUCCUAAAUAAUGUUUGUAGGGGUUAGUUCCCAAAUUUUUUUGCUUAAUUAAGAUGUGUAACGCAUGAUGAUUAUUAUUAUUAUUUUUUAUUUUUUUAUUUUUUCAUGAGCAAUGCUAGCUCUACAAUCCUUUAUGGCUUGUAGUUGUAACCUUACAAUUUCCACCGUUUUAUGUCUACUUUUUUCAAGCUUGUCUUUUCCCUUUUUUUUUUUAAAGAAAAGAACCGAAAAAGGUGAAGUAAAACCCUUGCUUUUUGGAUUGGAAAUGGUAAAGAUUCAAACCUUAAAAAUGUUGCAGACUUAGCAUUUCUUUUUUUUUUUAUUUGAUUUAUACCCUCCAACUUACAAAUCGUUUAAUUUAGGUCCUUGCAUUAGGCAAUUUUAAACGGUUAGAAUCAAAAGCCCACGAGGAAUGCACGUGAUCAAAAAUUGCUCUAGUCAAAAAGAAGAAAGCAGGGUUGCUCUAUUUUUGCUUAAUUUUCAAAUUUGUUACGAAUCGUAUGACUGCUACAACCUUACUACCCCUUCAUUUUUAUCAAGAAUUUUUUUUUUUUUUUUUUUUUUUUAGAGAUAGGUAGCACGCUACCCGCUUUGUUUAUUUCAUUUAGAAAUAAACUCAACUGGAAAUGCGAAUCAACUAGGAUUCGAACUUGGGUCUCGGGUAUCAACCAUCAAACCCUUUGCCACUUGCCCUAGGAAUGUUACCCACUUUAUUUUUAUCAAGAAUUGCUUUGGUUCUAUUUGCAUGUACAUCCCUCUUGCCUCUUAGUGUUUCACUCUAACAAAAUUCCCAACAUUACCAAUGGAAGAACGUAAAUCAAACAGUUUGUAAGUUGACGGAUUUAACUCAAAUUAAAAAAAUAUUAGGGAUUUAUUUCAAAAUAGGUUGACAUUCAGGGCGUGUCUAUCCAUUAUUCCAUUAUAACAUUUUUAUUUUUAUUAAUCAAGAUUACAUAAAAGUUAUCCACCGUCUCUGAAGCAAGUGGCAAAGCGCUUACUGGUUGGUACCCGAGAUCCCAAGUUUGAAUCAUAGUUGAUUCACAUUUCUAGUUGAGUUUAUUUUUAAAUGAAAUAGACGAAGCUAGUGGCGUGCUACCUAUUUCUCAAAAAAAAGAAAAAAAAGAUUUCUCAAAAGUUAUUAAAAAAAAAGCACUAAUCUAUACUUAUGUAUAAAUUCUCAUGUUUAAAUUCUAUGUGGAUGUAACUCUUUAAUUUGAGGGAGGUGGGGUUUUAAGCCAUUUCUUCUCUCAUCUAAAAAACUAUAGCUAAUCUAUUUUUUCAAAUGGCUUUUCGCUUUUCGGCGCAUUUACUCGUAUUUACUUUUUCUUUUUUUAGUAGCCCUUGAGCUACCAUUCAUGAAAGGUUAGAGCGAAAAGAUGUUGAAGUAAUUUAUUUCGUAUAUAAAAAUCAUUACCCACCUCCUCUCCACCUUCACCCAUUCCCAUUAAUUUACAUUAUUUUUUUAAUUAAUUAAUUUUAAUGGGUGGCACAAGUUAGAUUCCAUUUUUCUUCCUUACCAAAUUUUUCUUUAUUUGUUUAAUGGUUAAAAUUGAGGAAUAUGCUUUUUUUUUUUCUUUUAUGUACAAUUUUUUUUGUUAGUUUUAUAUUAUAUAUAUAAAAGAUGUGUAAUACUUUUACUUAAAUUUGUAAUAUAUAGUUCUGUGAAGGAGGUGCCUCCCUCUCCUCUAAUGCUCCCAAGGACAAAAAGUAUCGGUUAAGAUAUGGAGUUGCUAGGAAAGAGUUGAAGGCGCUGUGUUACCUCACGAAAUAGUUGGCCUCGGUAGAGGAUGCUCUAGACAAGGGUGCAAAGGGGUCCGAUUUCUAUGCAACUGUUAUAUUUAGUUUAGAUUUAUAGUUAUCUAAAUUGGAGUUAAACCCUAAUCUAAUUGGGAUUGAAUAUAAUUUGGCAUAUAUGGAUUAUGAGUCUGAAUCUAAUUUCAAAUUGAAUUAGAUUAGACUUGUGUUUAGAAAUCCAAUUAGAUUAGAGUUCCAAUUAAGUUUUGGUCUUUUGAGAGAUUCAAUCUUGUACUCCGUCUUUCAACAUUAAUAAAGUAUUUGCUCUGUUUUCAUCCGUGGAUGUAGGCCAUUUGCCGAACCACGUAAAUAUUGGUAUGCUCUUUUCUCUUAUCUUUUCGUUUCCUGCAUUAAAUUAUUUUCUGCAUCUAUUUUUCGCUUUUUCGAUUUUAACAGUAACAAUUUUUUUUAUCUUAUAGUUCUAUUUGUCUUUCGUUGUUUUUAUUGAAUUAUAAUUCCAUUAUGAAAGCUUUAAUAUGUUUUUUACUUAUUAAUUCCAAUCAAAUAUGAUUAUAACCUUUUUUUUAUAUUCUAUAUUUGCUUAUUUAAUCUAUAAAUUUUUAAUAAAAAAAUUUUAUCUGCCAUUUCGCGCGGUUCCUACACUAGUUAAACAACCACACAAGCGAAAAGGGAAAAGGGUAUAGUUGGUGACUUUUAAUUUUUUUUUUAGGCCACUUUUUUUAUUAUGACUUUCAUUGAUUUGGAUGAGUUGGAAGGCGUGUAUGUAACGUAAACUGAUCAAAUUUGGGGCAAGUUUUUUUAAAAAAAUCUAAAUCCAAUCCUAAUUACCAAACUCAAAUUUAAAAUUGGAAUUUGAAUCUGACGAAUUUUUAAAAUUUAUAUCCAAGCCCAAAUCUUUCCAAAAAUUCAAAAUCCGAAACGGAAAAGUCCAACUCGAAACAAUUAUUUCUUUUUGCCAUAUUUUCAAACAUAUUAUAUUGAAUCUAAAGUAAAAUAUAAAUUCAAAUAUAAACACCAAAUAUUUAUAUUUAUUAUAUUAUGUAAAAUCAAUUCUAGUUCGUGUCAUAUUUUGGAUUCAAAACGAGUACAGACAAAAUCCAUACCUGAAUCCAAAUCAGACGAGUUUUCGGCUUUUAUAUCUGUAUCCGAAAUGAUAUCCAUUUAGUAUUAAAUAAAUCCGCUCCAUUUGAAUUUGUUUUCGAUAAAAUUUUGAAUAUUUGUUUUAGAUUUGUCUUGAAGUGUGGGAAAUUUUGGUUAGAAUUUGUUUAGGAGUGUGGAAAAAUUUCCAGCACUUUGAUGACUUGAAAGCCUUCUCUAUGAAACUUCCAUUUCAUUUCCUCCCCUUAUCAAGAAGCACACAUGAAAUUGGCCAAAAGAUAUCUAAUAUGUUUUUGGUCGACCAAAAUGGCUUCAUUGAUUUUAUAAAAUUUCUUCAAUAUAUCCAUAACUAUAGCAUUUACUAAUGAGAUUUGAGGUUUAGAAGAACAUUUUGAGAAUAAAGGAAUGUAUAAAUUUAAAAAAAUUGAAUAGUAGUAGGAGAUAUAUAAGCAAAAGCCCCUAAAAUUUAUAUAGCAAAUAAAUCAAUCAUUCUGAGUCAGGAUGAAUGAAAAGAAAAAAAAUAGUGAAUAAUUUAUUACAUUCGGAGAACGGUAAAUGAUUUAUUAUUUCUUUAAAGACUAGAAGUUUUAUGUAUUAAAAAUUGAGCAACAUUAAUUACUUACUUUCAGUAUAGACUAUUUAAGAUGAUGUAUAGGGUUUAUGGUUUAAGAUUUAGGCUAAAGGCCGUGAACAAUUCAUCAUCUCGUACGGAAAUUUAAAGUUUGUUUUCAUGCAAGAAAACAUUUAGAAUUGUCUAUAACACACCGGCAAAGUACCAGUUAAUUUGUUCCAACUGUGAGAAAGUGCAACCAAAGCUCUAGAUUAAAGUGUUACGCGCCUCAUAGUUCGAGCCAAAAAUUGCGACGAACUGAAGUUCAAGGACUUGUCACGCAUCUCACACAUCGAGCCAAAAAUUGUGCUGAAUUAAAAUUUGAGAACUAAAGUGUACAGUUUGAGCACGAAAGUGUAAUUUACACUUAAGGCAGCGUUUGGUUAGGCGAUAAGGAUAGGAAUAGGCCCUUAUCCCCCCUUUAUAUCCAAACGCUAAUUUUUUAUCCGAGAAUAGUAGUUCUCGGUUAUCCCCACCAACACCUUCAUUUUCUAUAUAAAACUAUCUAAAAUUAUUCUUAUCUCCAGGAACAACCCAAUUUUCAUCCAAACACUAUUUUUCUUAUCCCCAUACUUGUACCUAUUCCUGUAAUAGCUAGUUCUUGCUUAUACCUGAACCACCUUACGUUUUAUCCACUAGUAGGGGGCCAAUAAUUGCAGCCUCAGUUUAGCGGUGGCGUGGGGUCAAGAAACACGACCUUGGAGGCUUGGAUGAUUUAAUUAUUCGAUUUCAGGACUGGGGCGUGGACUCUCUAAAGAAGUCGGCAGAACCUCCGGUCAUGCGAAAUCACAUGCAAGUUUUCCCCAACCUAUACGCUCCUUUUUCUUGUCUGCAUGCAGUUAAUUUGCAUAAAGAGAGAUACCAUACCUGCUGUGUAUAUAUAUUACCUAAUAAGUGAGUGAUUAUUUUAAGCAUUUCUCUUUCCUCGUUCUCUAUCUUUUGCACUCCAAGUGUUUGAUGAAUUGCCUGAGAAGUGGUGAAGUAGCUGUGGUUUAAGCUUAUUAUAUGGAGGAUUAUGGCUUUACCUUUCAUAGCCGAAUCGGCGGCGUCGGCAAUCAUUGAGAAUCUCGUUAGCACUUGCUCAUCCUACCUCGAGGCGUGCCCGGCGGCCGGCGGCAUGCAGGACGAGCUUGAACGGCUGCAGCACGCCCUUCCGCAGGUCCAAGCAGUCUUGACUGCGGUCGAGGAGGGUGCGAUGGUCAUGGCGCAGAACAAGGCGCUGGAUACGUGGCUCUGGCAGCUCAGAGAUGCCGUGGAGUGCGCGGAGGACGUGCUCGACGAGCUGGAGUACUACGAGCUAGAGAAAACAGUACAAGAUCGAGAUAACGAGGUGCCUGGCAUUCUCUCUAAAUGUAGGAGAAAGUUUGACAGUUUCGUUAAUCGUAUCUUUAGCGAUGACACACUGAAGAGGUUGAGGGAGGCCGUCAAGGGGUUGGAUCGGGUCGUUGCCGGUAUGGGGCCACUCCUUCAACUUGUUACUGGGUUAUAUGGCCCUGGCGUUAAGCGUCGAAAGAUCGAGGAAGUCCGGAAUGCUCGCGAGACUAGCUCCUUGUUAACCGAAAGUGAGGUGCUCGGACGAGACGAGGAGAGGGACUUGAUAGUCGAAUGGUUGAUCAAACCGAGAGAUACCGAUGUCUCUGCUUUUACCAUUGUUGGUAUGGGUGGGUUCGGGAAGACUACCCUUGCUCAACUAGUUUAUAGCGACGAAAGAGUGCGAGAGUACUUCGACCCGAUUAUGUGGGUUUGCGUUUCUCAAGACUUUGAUGCAGCUGUGAUAACAAGAAAGAUGUUAGAAGGUGCAAGUAGUGAGAGUUUUGGCGACAAGAGUCUAAAUGCGCUCCAUUAUAUCCUUAAACAGAAAAUUUUGUCGAAGCGCUUUUUGCUCAUGCUAGAUGAUGUUUGGAAUGAUGAUAAUACGAUAGAGUGGGAGAAAUUAGUUGCUCCUUUGAAAUUUGGACAAAGAGGAAGCAAGAUCCUUUUGACAACUCGAAUGGGUUCAGUUGCAGAUAUGGUGGCAAAAGUGAUGCAAUGUAAAAAGGAAUCUUUAAAUCUAAAUGGGUUGAAGGAGAGCGAUUGUAUGUCGCUUUUCAAUAAGCACGCUUUUCUUGGUGUGAACCCUGAUGAUUAUAAAAACUUGCGACCGAUUGGCGAGCAGAUAGUGAAGAAGCUUGGCGGAUGCCCAUUGGCAAUAAAAGUUACGGGAGGGCUCCUGAACUCCUGCAUGGAUUAUGACUAUUGGAAAAGAAUCUUGAAAAAAGACAUUGUAGAAUUACAACAUAGAAAAGACGACAUCAUGACAAUUUUGAGAUUAAGCUAUGAUCACUUACCCACAAAUUUACAACUCUGCUUUAGAUAUUGUAGUAUAUUUCCGCAGGAUUUUAUGUUUAAGAGGAAAGAGUUGGUCUAUAUGUGGACGGGUUCAGGUCUGAUUCCGCAGUCUAUUUGUGGGACACGGAGGCCAGAAGAUAUAGGAAAGGAAUAUUUAGAUCUUCUGACAAGAAAAUCAUUCUUUACAUGCAAAGCCAGUGAGCGUGGAUUUGAAAUUCCUAAAUUUUAUGUUAUGCAUGAUCUGUUGCACGAACUAGCACAAUCUGUUUCUCUAGGGGAAUGCAUCAGAAUAGAAGGUGAUGUUGUAGGAAAAACUAUUCCACGAACAGUUCGACAUUUAUCUGUUGACAAGGUCAAUAUUCUUUCCAUAAGAGAGAUAUCCAAUCUUAAGAAAUUGCGCACUCUUGUCAUAUCUAUUAAGAAGAAUCAUGAUCAUAGUGCAGAUCAUGCACUUGUAUUUAACGAGGUUAUAAAAGGGUUUAAAAGCUUACGCUUAUUCAGCUUAUAUGUGAAUUUUGACUUUCAUAGACUGCUCGAUGCACUUUACUGGUUGAUACACCUCCGCUACUUAUCUCUUACCCUAUCGCUUCCGCUAGAGGCAGUUAUGAAUAAAAGUUUCAUGAAUUUGUUUCCUCAAUCUCUUUUUAGGCUUUAUCACCUAGUAGUCAUGAAGUUCUCGACCCCUGUUUUAAUGACUUCUAGGAAUAUUGAAUAUGACGGCUUGACUAACUUGGUCAAUUUGCGUUUGUUAGAUCUUCCUCGUGGUAUGAUAAAAAAUAUUCGUUAUGUUAGCAAACUAUCCUUCAUCCGCAAAUUGGAAUAUUUUUUUGUCCAAGAGGAGAGUGGUUACAAAAUCAGUGAACUAAAGAACCUAAGAGACCUUCGUCGUUUGAAUAUUAGAGAACUUGAAAAUGUGAGCACUUCUGAAGAAGCUACGGAGGCCAAGUUGAACGAGAAAGAAUAUCUCAAAUCAUUGUUAUUGGGAUGGUCCAGUGACCGCUGCCAUAGUGCAGAGGCCGAUGAGCAGCUGCUUGAUAACCUCUGUCCACAUAUCAAUGUCAGGAAAUUGUGUAUUGAAGAAUACAAAGGCAUUAAAUCUCCAUGUUGGAUGACAGAUUUGUAUCUCAUCAAUUUGACAUGCAUCCAACUGGUCAACUGUAAAGAAUGGGAGCACCUCCCACCUCUUGGGGGUUUGCCUUCGCUCAAUAUUAUUCGGUUGAAGGGAUUGGUCGCUGUAAAGCAAAUAGGUUGUUCAUUCUAUGGGUGCGGUGGUGUAUGUGCCUUUCCAUCGUUGAAGCAACUAUUCUUACUUGACAUGCCUAACUUGGAGGAGUGGAUUGGAAUAGCUGAUGGAUGCAUGUUUCCUCAGCUUCAUACUAUGGUAAUCCGUGACUGCCCUAAUUUGAGGGGAAUGCCUACUUUGCCUCGUAGCCUUAGACUGUUGCUUAUUUCUCAUGUUGGAUUGACUGCUCUUCCAGCAAUAAAUCAGGAUUGCAAAAAUGACAGUUUAAGUUCUCUUUUUUAUAUUGAACCACCAAUUCAUAUUUCCAUUUGCUAUGGUUGCCCAUAGUUAACAUUUUUACAUUUUUUAUUCUGCAGCAGCAAGAACAUGUUAUGGCUCUUGAAAGCUUAAUCAUCGAACAAUGUGAGAAGCUCAAUUAUUUUCCAACAGAAUUUUUUGGGAAUUUGAGCCUUGUAAAAUUCUUGAGUAUAGAAAAGUGCCCGAAGUUGACAAAAUGUGGGAUCACAGACAUCCAACCGCCUUCUGCACUCGAUAGACUCAUUAUUGGGUCAUGCGGCAACCUUGAGGUGGCAUUGCUCUGGUCAGCGAAUUUAACCUUUCUUACUUGUUUGGAUUUACUCGAUUGUGCAAGUAUAGCAUCCCUUCCCCCAGCACAAGUGUGUGUGCGAUGGACCAUGCUCUCCCAUUUAGCAAUAAAAAACUGCAAAGAACUAUCAUCAUUUGGUGGAAUACAAGCUCUCAUAUCCCUUCGUUCUUUAGAAAUUGAAGGGUGUGAUAAGCUAAUUGAAGUUUCCCUGCUGCAGCCUCCAUUUCCAAACAAUGUCAGCCAAAAGAAUCCAGUGGACUGCUUUCUGAAGCUUGGUAGACUAUCAAUUGACCAUCAUGCGCUCUUGCUCAUGGAGCCAAUAAGAAGUCUCACCUUCAUUAGCAGUUUGACCCUCUCUGGUGCUUCGCAACUCACCUCCUUACCUGAGGAAUGGAUACUGCAAAAUCACACUGCCCUCAAAUUUUUAAGCAUAAGGAAUGCAGUCUCCCUUCAGUCCCUAACCCAGAGCAUGACAAAACUGUGUUCUCUCGAGAAUUUGGGUGUAUAUAAUGCUAGUCUCAUCCGGUCACUUCCAGAUCUGCCUACUUCGCUGUGUACUCUAUGCAUCACCGGGUGUCACCCUGUGUUGAAGGAGCGAUGCCAAGAGAAUAUAGGCCUUGAUUGGCCCAAGAUUGCCAACAUCCGUUAUGUGAGGAUUGAAUAGCACUUGCAGAGGUGAUGAAGCAUAUUGUAUGUACACUUUACCGCCCUUCAUCUCGCCCAUGCUACCCUCUGUAAUUAAUGCAAUUCACUCUGGUCUUAAUGACCUACUUCUCAUUCAAUCCUAACAAGUUUUAUCUCAUUUGUUGCAGGUUUACUUCCCUUUUUUCUGGAUACUGCUCCUUUUUGGAUAACGCAAGAGCUAGCAGUCAGGUUCAUAUUUAACUUAGCAGACUCAAAAGAAUUUUAUAUUUUUCACCCUUAAUUUACAGUUUGGAUACAUAAAUUAGAAGUAACGUGCUGCUCACAGGACUUGUGUGAUUGAAAAGAUAGGAUUAUAUCCGAUUAGCUAAUGCAUCUGUCGAGCACCUACCUUCCAUAUCUAAAUUAGAAGUUAAAUAAAUUUCUAGCUAGUGGCAAAGGGCUUGGUGGUUGGUACCCGAGACCCAAGUUCCAAUCCUAGUUGAUUCACAUUUCCAGCUAAGUUUAUUUCUAAAUGAAAUAAACGAAGCGGGUAGCGUGCUACCUAUCUCUCAAAAAAAAAAAAAAAAAAAAAAUUUCUGUCUCAAGACAUCUCUUGCUCUUCAUUUCACAUGCUAGGCCUGAACAUUGAAGCAAUGGAUUAGUCAUGUAAGACAAACAAUUUAUAAUGAUUAUUAUAAAUACUUUCUACAACUAAACAUGACUACUUGUCCAGUAAUUUUUUUCCAGGGGAAAUUAGAGAAGCGCGACAAAGCAUUCGAGUUGUUUUAAGGUAUUGAGUAUUAGGACAUCCUUCGUCUUACUGCAUGCAUGUGUUCUUCUAUUUUCUUGGUGCAGGUUUAGAGAAAGACUCCAUGUAGUAUUGCAUUUUCUUUCUUUUUAUUUUCUAUUGCCAGAUGAGUGAAAAAUGUGUAAGAAAGAAAUUAUCCUCUUUUGGAGCAAAUUAAGAGGUUAAGCUUAAAUGCUUCAAUUUUGUUUCCCCUCACUUUAUCUGCAUUUAUCCUAAAGAUAAUUUAACAUUGUUUGAUUCCUGCACAAGUAACAAACCUCAUCGCAUGGUGAGCUUGUUCUGUUUGUGUCUUAUCUGAUGAAGUUGUUAAGCUUCUUUGAAGUAGCUUAAACACCUAAUUUGGAAACUGUUUAUUUCAAGCUAUGUUUACUUAGCAGCAUAACAAGCACCCAGGUUAAACUUGUGAACUUAAUUUCUGUGGUAUAAAUUAUACUUUAAAUAUUGUUAAACUUAUUUUAAGCUUCUAGUGCAGGUUGCAUCGACAUUUGGAGUAAAUUUGGUAGGUGUGCUCUGUCGAAAAGGCUCGGUCAGACUCUUUGUGAAAGGAAAACGAGGCUACACUACAGAAGGCACGAACUUAACAACCAUAUUCAGCAGCUACCAGAUUUUAAUCUCUUUAUCAAUUUUUUUGAAAAAAUAAAAUUUAAUUUUCUAAUGCCUUGAAGAUAGAAAAACACAUUCAGAAUUGAACCAUUUUGGCGGUUGUUGUUCAUGUUUCAGUUCAGUCUUCAAUCUAAGUUUGGUUUUGAUUCAGAUUUUUCGGACAUUAGUGCUUUUCAAGUGUUCAUUUUCUGUCUAUACUGAACACACUCUAUUGAAGAGCUCCUCAUUUUUUCUUUUUUUUUUAAAAAAAUUUACACCCUCUUAACUUUUCUAUUCAGCUAUUUCAGUUAAUUAAAGUGAAAACUUUGUUAAUUUUAAUGGUAUUAUUUUUUUCUAUAAUUUAAUGCUUCAAUAAAAUUAUUUUUAGUAGUUUUUUUGUGUAACCAAACACCACACAUUAUGUGCACUGAGAAACAAUUGCCUGUACCCAGUGUACACAUAUAUGUGCACCGCACCAGUAUAUGAUCCCAUAUGUUUGAUCUAAAAUAUCUAAAGAGCCUAUACUGGAAAAAUUGUGAUUUUUUGAAAAGGGUAAACUUCAAAUUGCCUCCCUGUGGUUUAACUUAUUUUUAUUUUAUCAUUCAAUGGUUUAAAAAAUUAUAUUUAAUUAUUUUAUGUUUUAGCGUAUUUUUUACUUUGUCAUUCUAUCAUUAUUUUCAAAAUCUUUUUACUUUACCGUCCUGUUGGACAUAAAAUUUUUUGUUGAAACAAAAAUUAAAUCACGUAGAUAUCGAUUGAGCAGUUUUGAGAUUUAGGCUUCGUUUGAAAUUACGGGGAGAUUGCGCUACGUGCGGUGAGAAAGUACGAUAAAAAAUAUCUUGUUUGUUUUCAUAUGUAAUAUUACGUUUCGCAUAUCGUAAUUAGUCGAUUAUGAUAUAUUUUCUAUGGUCCCAUCGGAGAACGCAGAAGUGUAUCCCUAUAUGCUUUUAUUCCAACUCCAUUUUAUCAAAUAGAACCUCAAUACCAAACUAAGCCUUAGUGGUAGAAAAAGAAUAAAAGUUUUUGAUUUAUAAAAAGUCAGUGUCAAAUUUAUUUAUUUAUUUAUUUAUAUACAUAGGACAUUUAAAUACAAAAGAUGCAGCCAAUAAUUAAUUCCCUUAAUAUGUAAUUACUUCUAUGUAAUUUUUCAAUUCGUAACUUUUUAAAAUCCAAGCCCAAUUCAAUUAAUAUGAUCUACAACAAUAAAGGGAUUAUAUAUAAAAAAUUACAUGAUUUAUAAAAAAUAUAUAUUUCUGUAACAUCAAGUAAAAUAAAAAAUCAGUGACUGCCUAUAACGCAUCGGUAAAAUACUAGAUUAAAUUUAAGCUAAUAUAAGAAAAAUUUUUGUAAAUAUUCGUCUUUUCUCUUUCUCUCUCUAACUUCUAAAAAUAUAUUCGUCUUUUCUCUUUCUCCUUCUAACUUUUAAAAAUUUAUAUAUUUUCUGCCUCGAAGUUUCAAGUUGAUGUACUUUGUCUCCGCCGUCAGAAUUCUGUCACUGUCCCAUCUUUUUCUUAUAAUUUAUGACGGGAUAUGUCCGUAAAAAUAUAUUAAAAAGCUAAAUUUUUUUCCGUAGAAUUGAGUAACGGUAGUUUUGUCAUUUCACCCACUUCAAUAACAUUGUAAUUCUCUUAAAAAUAUCUGAAAUUUUUAAAGGCAAAACAUAGAUUUUUCAUAAAUCAGAAAAAAAAAGAAAGAAAAGGUGAGUAUUUAUAUAAGAGUUUUAUGCAUUUUAGCCUUGGUUUUAAUCUUAAUAUCUCUAUCACAAAAUUUUAGAAAUGUGAUGUAUAUGAUGUACUUAUAUAUAUGUAGGCAAUAAUUUGCCUUGUGACUACUUUGUAAAGUUUGUAUGGCCAAAACCCAAUCUAGUAUAUGUCAUCUACCCCAAUAAACAUACAAUGUAUUAAAAUUUCUAAGGUUUAAAAUAUUUUUACUAUAGCAUUAAGUAGUCUCAAAACUUUGUAAGAACUUGCAAAACGUGGAUAAAGAACUACUUAGAUUUUAAUUCUUAAGACAAAAAAAAAAAGAGAAGUACAGAGACCCUCUGAACUUUAGUUUUGCAGUAAAUAAGACAUCGAAACUUUUAAUUUUGAUAAUUAAAUUUUGUAAAUUUUAUUAUAUUGUUAAUUUCUGAACUUUUGGUAGAGUUUUACUUUACUCUCUAAACUCAUAAAAUGAACAUCUAAUGCUCUAAACUCUAAAUAUUUCAUACAUAUUACUUUUUCCGUCAGUUUUCGGUUAACAUAGCUUGACGGUAAACUGAUGGAAAGAAUAACAUGAAUGAAACAUUUAGAGUUUAGAGUAUUAGAUGUUCAUUUUAUGAGUUUGGGGGGUAAAGUAAAACUCCACCAAAAAUUUAAAAAGUAACAGUGCUAUUUAUCCUAUAGAACUAGGCUGGAAUACUAUCAAUAGCACAAAGUUGUUGGUGCUAUUAGCUUUUUAGCCCUUAGAUUGAGAAAUGUGCGAUUAGCAUGAUGUGGACUCCCCAAGAUUAAGUGGGUGGUUGGUUGAAUAGCAUAAUCUAACGGGUAAAAAUAAUUAAAAAAAUUAAUCUAACGGCAGAAAACUUGAUAGCACUAAGUGCUUGGUGCUAUCGAUAGUAUAGUAGCCGGACUCUUAUCCUAUAUAUUUUAUUUUUUUUUGAUUAAACAGGGAUAUACCCUAUUUGAAAGAGUAGCUAGUAGGUAGGGACAAAGGCAAUUUAAUACACAGGUCAAAACCCUAAUCUGAACACUAAUAACAGAGGAGUAUUUGUUAAAGAACUCCCCUGACAAAAUACUCUUCCCUCAACCCAAAAUAAAAUAAAUCCCAAAACAGAAGAGAUCGUUGCAAAGAGAAAGGAAGCUAGCUUGUUAGAGCCGACUCCCAUAGCAUGGCGGCCUCGCAGAUUCUUAUUAAAAUAUAUAGGACUCUUAUCCUAUAUAUUUUAAUAUACACUAUUGUUUUGGUAGAGUUCUUUUUUUUUUUGAAAAAUAAAUAGCAUAUUAUUUAUUUCGUUUAUUUUAAUUAGAAAUAAAUUUAACUGAAAAUAUAAAUCAACUGCAAUGAUUCAAACUCGGGAUCUUAGAUAUCAACAACCAAACCCAUUACAAAAGAGUUAAUUAAAGUUCAGAGGCUCUUUGUACAUUUUCCCCUUGUACGAUCUAUAAACCUCUAUUAUUGGUUAUGCAGACCGUAAUUUCUCCCUCGGGAAGGGUGUGGAGUGGGGUGGGGCCGGAUAGAUUCCUCUGUCGGCAGUAAUUGAGUUUCGUUGGCUGUCACAGAAGGCAGACAAAUUUGACCAGUAAGUCUUCUCUACGAAACACUUCCAUUUCAUUUCCUCCCCUCUUCCCAGAAGCAUUCAAGAAAUUACUCCUCCCCAGUUUUUUAUUCUUUUGGUAUGUCCUAGCUAUAUGCUUGUUAAAAAUUAAUUUGAAACAAACUGUUUAUCUCAAGAAGCUUAACUUGCUUGCUACCGAAUUAAAGUGGGCAUAUUUUGAUUUAGUGUUUGAUUUCUCAAAAAAUAUUUUUGAAAAUAAUUUAUUUAUUUUUUUAUUUAGCUUGUUUAGUUUCUAAAUUUUAUCCUAAAAUUGUCUUCCCUAUUCAAAAAAUAAAAAUUAUAUUUUUUUUCCCCGAAAAACAUGGACUGGUUUUCAAAUUUUUAUUUUCAAAAAAAAGAAAAAAAAAAGAAAAUUGGGGAAUCAACACACCCACUUAAUUAGUGGGGGGCUUAAUUUUGUUGUCGAAUAAAGCAGUCAUGCUUUAUUUAUUUCUCCUCCUAAAUCUUUCUUCCUCUUCGUCCAACUGUUUCACUCCAGGAGUUUGAUCAAUUGCCCGAUCGAGUAGUGGUGAGGUAGUAGGAGCUCGAGCUAUUAGGAGGAUCGUAAUAAUGGCUUUACCUUUCAUUGCCGAAUCGGUGGCGUCGGCGAUCAUCGACAAUCUUGUUGGCACAUGCUUAUCCUACCUUGAGGUGUACCCGGCGACCAGCGGCAUGCAGUACGAGCUCGAACGGCUGCAGCAGGCACUUCCGCAGGUCCAGGCAGUUCUGACUGCAGUCGAGGAGGGUGCGCCGGUCAUGGCACAGAACAAGGCGCUGGAUACGUGGCUGUGGCAGCUCAGAGACGCCGUGGAGAAUGCGGAGGACGUGCUCGACGAGCUCGAGUACUACGAGUUACAGAAGAAGACUACACGAGAUCGAGAUGACAAGGUGCGUGGUAUUCUAUCUAACUGCAAGAGAAAGUUUGAUAGUUUCGUUAAUCGUAUCUUUAGCGAUGACACACUGAGGCGGUUGAGGGAGGCCGUCAAGGGGUUGGAUCGGGUCAUUGCCGGUAUGGGGCCACUCCUUCAUCUUGUUGCUGGGUUAUAUGGCUCUGGCGUUAAGCGUCAGAACCUCGAGGAAAUUAAGAAUGCUCGCGAGACUAGCUCCUUGCUAACCGAAAGUGAGGUGCUCGGACGAGACGAGGAGAGGGACCUGAUAGUUGAAUGGCUUAUCAAACCGGGAGAUGCCGAUGUCAAUGUCUCCGCUUUUACAAUUGUUGGUAUGGGCGGGCUCGGGAAGACCACUCUUGCUCAACUAGUCAAUUGCGACAAAAGGGUGCGAGAGUACUUCGACCCGAUUAUGUGGGUCUGCGUUUCUCUGGACUUUGAUGCAGCUGCGAUAACAAGAAAGAUGUUAGACAACUCUUGCUCAACUAGUCUAAAUGCACUCCAUGAGAUUGUUAAACAGAAACUUACAUCGAAGAGGUUUUUGCUUAUACUAGAUGAUGUUUGGAACGAUGAUAAAAUGACAGAGUGGGAGAAAUUGGUUACUCCUUUGAAAUUCGGACAGAGAGGAAGCAAGAUCCUGUUGACAACUCGAAUGGAUUCAGUUGCGAAUAUGGCGGCAAAAGUGAUGAAAUGCAAACGAGAAUCAUUAAAUCUAAAUAAGUUGGAGGAGAGCGACUAUAUGUUGCUUUUCAAUAAGCAUGCAUUCCUCGGUGUGAAUCCUGAUGAUUAUAAAAACUUGCAACUGAUUGGCGAACAUAUAGCGACGAAACUUGGAGGAUGCCCAUUGGCCAUAAAGGUCAUGGGAGGAAUGCUGAACUCCUGCAUGGACUAUGAAUAUUGGAAGAAAAUCCUGGAAAAAGACAACAUGAAAUUACAACAAGGAAA
This 41117-nucleotide long non-coding RNA is filed under the name Ananas comosus (pineapple). Its description in RNAcentral is "long non-coding RNA (ACOM_LNC017328)". The record is from RNAcentral. Lineage: Eukaryota; Viridiplantae; Streptophyta; Magnoliopsida; Poales; Bromeliaceae.